Long non-coding RNA from Vigna angularis (adzuki bean), 470 nucleotides. RefSeq lists it as uncharacterized. Lineage: Eukaryota; Viridiplantae; Streptophyta; Magnoliopsida; Fabales; Fabaceae. The transcript has 2 exons. The record is from RefSeq and is a predicted model, not a curated record.
UUCAGUUUUCAAUUACACUGAUGAUAAGGAACCAGUGACUUACAUGAAAUUUCCUGCUGUUGGAAGCAUUGCAGAACCAGUGCCUGAUCCACUUUUCAAACCGUUUAUCUGCAAUGUGUCUGCUCCAAAAUCCUGUGAUGUCCAUCGUGGUGAAGGUUUUUCUGGCAAUGCCUCAGACAUUUCCAAUGCAAAAGGGUUAAUGGAGUUGCAACAGAGGCAUGAAGAAGAAAAUGCAUCGGAUGAACUUUGAUCGUUGUAGUCUUUGCAUAGAUGAGAUAUGGUAGAGAAGAAGAUUCACGAUGAUGAUGAUGAUGAUAUUUAGUUAGCUUUGGUUUCUAAGUUUUUGUCAUAGUUUGUCUCAGGUUUUCUGGUUUAGAUCAGUGUUAUUUUGAUGUCAUUUGAAGUAUACGGGUCUCUAUACUUUAUGCUUUCGAUUUAUGAAUGGUUAAAAUAUUGGGUAUUGUAGUUAA